UACAGAGGCCCCAAGCGUUACUGAGAAUCACUGGGUUUAAAGGGUGCGUAGGUGGCGCGUUAAGUCCGUUGUGAAAGCCCUGGGCUCAACCCAGGAACUGCUUCGGAUACUGGCGCGCUUGAGGCUAGUAGGGGUCACUGGAACUGACGGUGGAGCGGUGAAAUGCGUAGAUAUCGUCAGGAACGCCAAUGGUGAAGACAAGCUGCUGGGGGUGUACUGACGCUGAGGCACGAAAGCCAGGGGAGCAAACGGG
RNAcentral lists this ribosomal RNA (253 nucleotides) under uncultured bacterium. Its description in RNAcentral is "partial 16S ribosomal RNA". It matches the Rfam family "Bacterial small subunit ribosomal RNA", at positions 524 to 776 of the family's 1533-position model. The record is from RNAcentral.